CCUACGGGAGGCAGCAGUGGGGAAUAUUGCACAAUGGGGGAAACCCUGAUGCAGCGACGCCGCGUGAGUGAAGAAGUAAUUCGUUACGUAAAGCUCUAUCAGUAGGGAAGAAACACUGACCUUACGGUCAGCAGACGGUACCUGAGUAAGAAGCCCCGGCUAACUACGGGCCAGCAGCCGCGGUAAUAUGUAGGGGGCAAGCGUUAUCCGGAUUUACGGGGUGUAAAGGGAGCGUAGACGGUGCGGCAAGUCUGGAGUGAAAGGCCGCAGCUUAACUGCGGAACUGCUUUGGAGACUGGCGGACUAGAGUGCGGGAGGGGUAAGCGGAAUUCCUAGUGUAGCGGUGAAAUGCGUAGAUAUUAGGAGGAACACCGGUGGCGAAGGCAGCUUACUGGACCGUAACUGACGUUGAGGCUCGAAAGCGUGGGGAGCAAACAGGAUUAGAUACCCUAGUAGUC
RNAcentral lists this ribosomal RNA (458 nucleotides) under uncultured bacterium. Its description in RNAcentral is "partial 16S ribosomal RNA". It matches the Rfam family "Bacterial small subunit ribosomal RNA", at positions 338 to 795 of the family's 1533-position model. The record is from RNAcentral.